UGGGGAAUUUUGGACAAUGGGCGCAAGCCUGAUCCAGCAAUGCCGCGUGCAGGAUGAAGGCCUUCGGGUUGUAAACUGCUUUUACACCGGAGAAAACCUCCCCUCGUGAGGGGAGCUGAUAGUAUGGUGGGAAUAAGCAUCGGCUAACUUCGUGCCAGCAGCCGCGGUAAUACGUAGGGUGCGAGCGUUAAUCGGAAUUACUGGGCGUAAAGCGUGCGCAGGCGGUUAUAUAAGACAGGUGUGAAAUCCCCGGGCUCAACCUGGGACCUGCAUUUGUGACUGUAUAGCUGGAGUACGGAAGAGGGGGAUGGAAUUCCGCGUGUAGCAGUGAAAUGCGUAGAUAUGCGGAGGAACACCGAUGGCGAAGGCAAUCCCCUGGACCUGUACUGACGCUCAUGCACGAAAGCGUGGGGAGCAAACA
RNAcentral lists this ribosomal RNA (421 nucleotides) under uncultured bacterium. RNAcentral's name for it is "bacterial SSU rRNA". It matches the Rfam family "Bacterial small subunit ribosomal RNA", at positions 355 to 774 of the family's 1533-position model. The record is from RNAcentral.